RNAcentral lists this ribosomal RNA (253 nucleotides) under uncultured bacterium. RNAcentral describes it as "partial 16S ribosomal RNA". It matches the Rfam family "Bacterial small subunit ribosomal RNA", at positions 524 to 776 of the family's 1533-position model. The record is from RNAcentral.
UACGUAGGGAGCAAGCGUUGUCCGGAUUCACUGGGUGUAAAGGGUGCGUAGGCGGGAGAAUAAGUCAGCGGUGAAAUCUUACGGCUCAACCGUGAAACUGCCGUUGAUACUGUUUUUCUUGAGUUCGGGAGAGGUUGAUGGAAUUCCAGGUGUAGCGGUGAAAUGCGUAGAUAUCUGGAAGAACACCAGUGGCGAAGGCGGUCAACUGGCCCGAAACUGACGCUGAGGCGCGAAAGCGUGGGGAGCAAACAGG